RNAcentral lists this ribosomal RNA (330 nucleotides) under uncultured eukaryote. RNAcentral's name for it is "partial 18S ribosomal RNA". It matches the Rfam family "Eukaryotic small subunit ribosomal RNA", at positions 1470 to 1796 of the family's 1831-position model. The record is from RNAcentral.
CCCUUAGAUGUUCUGGGCCGCACGCGCGCUACACUGAUGCAUUCAACGAGUCUAAAACCUGGUCUGAUAGGGCUGGGUAAUCUUUUGAAUGUGCAUCGUGAUUGGGAUAGAUGAUUGCAAUUCUUCAUCUUCAACGAGGAAUGCCUAGUAAACGCAAGUCAUCAGCUUGCAUUGAUUACGUCCCUGCCCUUUGUACACACCGCCCGUCGCUCCUACCGAUUGAAUGUUCCGAUGAAUACCAUGGACUGCGAGUAUGAAUGGGUUCGCCUAUUUCUGCUUCUCGGGAAGUGGAGUAAAUCUUAACAUUUAGAGGAAGGAGAAGUCGUAACA